RNAcentral lists this ribosomal RNA (677 nucleotides) under uncultured bacterium. RNAcentral describes it as "bacterial SSU rRNA". It matches the Rfam family "Bacterial small subunit ribosomal RNA", at positions 9 to 694 of the family's 1533-position model. The record is from RNAcentral.
GAGUUUGAUCCUGGCUCAGGACGAACGCUGGCGGCGUGCUUAACACAUGCAAGUUGAACGAUGAAGCCUAGCUUGCUAGGUGGAUUAGUGGCGAACGGGUGAGUAAUACGUGAGUAACCUGCCUUUAACUCUGGGAUAAGCCUUGGAAACGAGGUCUAAUACCGGAUACGACCAGUUCCCGCAUGGGAUGCUGGUGGAAAGGGAUAUGUACUGGUUUUAGAUGGGCUCACGGCCUAUCAGCUUGUUGGUGAGGUAAUGGCUCACCAAGGCGACGACGGGUAGCCGGCCUGAGAGGGUGACCGGCCACACUGGGACUGAGACACGGCCCAGACUCCUACGGGAGGCAGCAGUGGGGAAUAUUGCACAAUGGGCGCAAGCCUGAUGCAGCGACGCCGCGUGAGGGAUGACGGCCUUCGGGUUGUAAACCUCUUUCAGCAGGGAAGAAGCGAAAGUGACGGUACCUGCAGAAGAAGCGCCGGCUAACUACGUGCCAGCAGCCGCGGUAAUACGUAGGGCGCGAGCGUUGUCCGGAAUUAUUGGGCGUAAAGAGCUUGUAGGCGGUUUGUCACGUCUGCUGUGAAAGCCCGGGGCUUAACUCCGGGUCUGCAGUGGGUACGGGCUAACUAGAGUGCAGUAGGGGAGACUGGAAUUCCUGGUGUAGCGGUGAAAUGCGUAGA